This 322-nucleotide ribosomal RNA is filed under the name uncultured eukaryote. RNAcentral describes it as "partial 18S ribosomal RNA". It matches the Rfam family "Eukaryotic small subunit ribosomal RNA", at positions 1470 to 1796 of the family's 1831-position model. The record is from RNAcentral.
CCCUUAGAUGUUCUGGGCCGCACGCGUGCUACACUGAGUAAUUCAAUGGGUAAGGGAACGCUAGAGCAUUACCUAAUCUUGAAAUUUGCUCGUGAUGGGGAUCGACGGUUGCAAUUUUCCGGCGUGAACGAGGAAUACCUUGUAGGCGCAUGUCAUCAUCAUGCGCCGAAUACGUCCCUGCCCUUUGUACACACCGCCCGUCGCUCCUACCGAUUGAGUGAUCCGGUGAGGCUCUGGGACCUGGACGGAAAGAGCGUUUCGCUUGUUCUGUUUGGGAAACUUGGUCGAACCUUAUCAUUUAGAGGAAGGAGAAGUCGUAACA